AUUCCAGCUCCAAUAGCGUAUACUAAAGUUGUUGCAGUUAAAAAGCUCGUAGUUGGAUUUCUGACUCGACGCGUCUGGCCCGCCUUGCAUUUCGCGGGUGAGUGCCGGAGCGCGUCGGUCAUCCUUCUAGAGAACGGCGCUACCCUUCACUGGGUCGGCGUCGCAAUCUAGAUCUUUUACUUUGAAAAAAUUAGAGUGUUCAAGGCAGGCUCGCGCUGUGAAUACAUUAGCAUGGAAUAAUAAUCUAGGACUUUGUUCCUAUUUUGUUGGUUUCUAGGAAUUAAGUAAUGAUUGAUAGGGAUGGUUGGGGGUGCUAGUAUUCAGCGGCCAGAGGUGAAAUUCUUGGAUUCGCUGAAGACUAACUUAUGCGAAAGCAUUCACCAAGGAUGUCUUCAUUG
Molecule: ribosomal RNA, 398 nt
Filed under: Imbricatea sp.
Lineage: Eukaryota; Cercozoa; Imbricatea
Description: partial small subunit ribosomal RNA
Rfam family: Eukaryotic small subunit ribosomal RNA
Source: RNAcentral